Molecule: ribosomal RNA, 498 nt
Filed under: uncultured bacterium
Lineage: Bacteria
Description: partial 16S ribosomal RNA
Rfam family: Bacterial small subunit ribosomal RNA
Source: RNAcentral
GACGAACGCUGGCGGCGUGCCUAAUACAUGCAAGUCGAGCGAAGUUUUUCUGGUGCUUGCACCGGAAAAACUUAGCGGCGAACGGGUGAGUAACACGUAAAGAACCUGCCUCAUAGACUGGGACAACUAUUGGAAACGAUAGCUAAUACCGGAUAAUAGCAUUAACUGCAUGGUUGAUGUUUAAAAGUUGGUUUUGCUAACACUAUGAGAUGGCUUUGCGGUGCAUUAGCUAGUUGGUGGGGUAAAGGCCUACCAAGGCGACUAUGCAUAGCCGACCUGAGAGGGUGAUCGGCCACACUGGGACUGAGACACGGCCCAGACUCCUACGGGAGGCAGCAGUAGGGAAUCUUCCGCAAUGGGCGAAAGCCUGACGGAGCAACGCCGCGUGAGUGAAGAAGGAUUUCGGUUCGUAAAGCUCUGUUGUUAGGGAAGAAUGAUUGUGUAGUAACUAUACACAGUAGAGACGGUACCUAACCAGAAAGCCACGGCUAACUACGU